RNAcentral lists this ribosomal RNA (553 nucleotides) under uncultured Geobacteraceae bacterium. RNAcentral's name for it is "bacterial SSU rRNA". It matches the Rfam family "Bacterial small subunit ribosomal RNA", at positions 1 to 526 of the family's 1533-position model. Lineage: Bacteria; Pseudomonadati; Thermodesulfobacteriota; Desulfuromonadia; Geobacterales; Geobacteraceae. The record is from RNAcentral.
MGMWKWCGCCCUUAGAGUUUGAUCCUGGCUCAGAACGAACGCUGGCGGCGUGCUUAACACAUGCAAGUCGAACGUGAUUCAGAGCUUGCUCUGAUGAAAGUGGCGCACGGGUGAGUAACGCGUGGAUAACCUGCCCUGGUAUCUGGGAUAACAUCUCGAAAGGGGUGCUAAUACCGGAUAAGCCCACGGGUUCUUCGGAAUCUGCGGGAAAAGAAGGCCUCUAUUUAUAAGCUUUCGUAUCACGAUGGGUCCGCGUACCAUUAGCUAGUUGGUGGGGUAAUGGCCUACCAAGGCGACGAUGGUUAGCUGGUCUGAGAGGAUGAUCAGCCACACUGGAACUGAGACACCGUCCAGACUCCUACGGGAGGCAGCAGUGGGGAAUUUUGCGCAAUGGGGGAAACCCUGACGCAGCAACGCCGCGUGAGUGAUGAAGGCUUUCGGGUCGUAAAGCUCUGUCAGAGGGGAAGAAAUGGGUCGUGCUAAUAUCACGGCUUCUUGACGGUWSCCUCAAAGGAAGCACCGGCUAACUCCKUGCCAGCAGCCGCGGUAAUAC